UGGUGGCCCAACGUGGAACCUGAGAAUAGGGGACUUAGUGAAGGACGCUGUUUGUGGGCCCAAAGUAGAAAAAGGAAAAGAAAAUAGAGGACCGGCGUGGGAGCCUGCUACGCCACUGAACCUCGAUAAAGUGAACAGUGAUUAUGGGAAAAGAAAUUAGCCAGCAUGAAAUUUUUGUUGAAAGUUUAGAAAAGCUUUAAAGACACC
This is a regulatory RNA element of Cavia porcellus (domestic guinea pig), 207 nucleotides long. It matches the Rfam family "Mason-Pfizer monkey virus packaging signal". Rfam says of the family: The packaging signal is located in the 5' UTR and is required for specific RNA encapsidation. The record is from Rfam. Lineage: Eukaryota; Metazoa; Chordata; Mammalia; Rodentia; Caviidae.